UACAGAGGCCCCAAGCAUUAUCCGGAAUCACUGGGCGUAAAGGGUGUCAAGGCGGUCAUGUUAGUCGUUCGUAAAAUCCGGGGGCUCAACCUCCGGCCCGCGAGCGAAACGGCAUGACUUGAGGUUGGGAGAGGUAUGUGGAACUCACGGUGUAGGGGUGAAAUCCGUUGAUAUCGUGGGGAACACCAAAGGCGAAGGCAGCAUACUGGCCCAAAUCUGACGCUCACACACGAAAGCCAGGGUAGCGAAUGGG
This 253-nucleotide ribosomal RNA is filed under the name uncultured bacterium. RNAcentral's name for it is "partial 16S ribosomal RNA". It matches the Rfam family "Bacterial small subunit ribosomal RNA", at positions 524 to 776 of the family's 1533-position model. The record is from RNAcentral.